CAUAUCUUUCCAUAAAAAAUAUGAGACAGCUUUUUUAAAUGAAUAUCUCUGAAAGAUCUACUAAUAAGAAACCCUUCAAGAAAAAAGAAAUCAAACCCAGAAAGAAAAAGUUGGAUGCUAGAGACUAAUCAAUAUAUUUGUAGACUAAAUAAAUACUUACUGCAUAAAAUAAUGAUGACAAUGACUAAUUUUUCUCAGGGUGGGUGUUGAAGAUAGUGAAGAUCUAUGAUAUAAAAAAGCAAUUACAGCCGGGUGCAGUGACACACACCUGUAAUCCCAGCAGCUUGGAAGGCUGAGACAGGAGGAUCACAAGUACAGGAGGAUCACAAGUUUAAAGCCAGCCUCAGUAACAGAGGAGCUAAGCAAAUCAGACUCUAAAUAAAAUACAAAAUAGUGCCAGGGAUACGGCUCAGUGAUUGAGUGCCCCUGAGUUCAAUCCCUUGGUACCAAACAAAACAAAACAAUUAUAGCAGGGAGAGGCAUGAUUUGAGCUGAGUACCCUACAAAACAUAGUUUAAGAUGAGGACAGAGAUUCUAGUUAACGUCAAAUAACUAAUUUAAUAUAGUAGACACUAGCCCCAGGUGGUGAUCUAAAUUUAAAUUUAAUUAAAAAGCCAUAAGAUUUAAAAUCCAGUUUCUUUAGCUCUGACGUAUAAACAGCUUGGAAGUCAUCAUUUCUUUCCUUAAAAGAAAAAUCUAAGAAAACAGAAAAUUGAUGUUUCUUGGACCUAAAGAGACUACAGCUUCAGAGCCAAUAAUAACCCUGAAAUCAUGGAGACAAGUGAAUGCAAAGGACCACACCCAAGAUCAGCUUACCUGAGCAGAAGCCACUAGAGUCAUAAAUUGUUAGGGAUGACAGUUUAAGUGGUGAUUUUAAUUAACUGCUGGAGGCUGUACACAUACAUUCCUGAAGUCAAAAGUCAUGGGAUGUCAAGAGUGUCAGGGUGUUACCAGAGGAGAGAUAAAGCUAUAAGCCUAGAAGGUUCUAGUUCUAGAGAUCUGGCACCAAAGUAGGGAGAGAACGGAAGAAAUACUCAGGCCUUUCUCUUCUUCCACACUACCAUCUCUUUGGCUUCUUCCUAGAUCAGCUAAACCCAACUGAUAUGAAUGUAUAAGGUACCAACAGCUCCUGAAGAAACAGCAAACUAUACAUCAUUUAUCAUAGAUUUGGAAAUAUAACUCCUCAGAGGUAAUGAUGGUACAGGUUGAUUAUCCCUUAUUAGAAAUGCUGAGAACCAGAGGGUUUGAGAUUUCGGGGUUUUUUUUGUGUCAGAUUUUUAAAAUAUUUGCAAAUAUAUAAAAUAUAUUGGCAAUGAGACUCAAGUCUAAGCACAAAAUUCACUUAUGUUUUAUAUAAAUCUCAUGCACUUAGCCUGGAAGCAAUUUUGUACAAUACUUUUAGUGUGCCUGAGAAUUUUGACUGUUAUUUGAGGCCAGUAGGAAUUUCCCACUAGUAUCACCAUAUUGGUACUCAAAAGUCUUGGAUUUUGGAACAUUUAGAGUCUCAAGUUUUCAAAUAGGUGGUUUUAACCCUACAGGUAUAAAAUAUACAGGUAAAAUAUUUAAUUAUAUAAAAAUCUUAUGACAUGGAUACGGAAAAGUUUGCAUAACCAAUAUAAAUGAACAAGGAAUACAAAUAACAUAAAGUUGAACGAAAACAUAAAAACCUGCAACCUUACCAUAAAUUUGAAAGUAAAUUAAAUGAUUGCAAUGGUAUGUAAGUAAGUAUGUAUAACUUUUUAGGAAAUUAUGUAUGCUAUAUGGUUA
RNAcentral lists this long non-coding RNA (1767 nucleotides) under Marmota monax (woodchuck). Lineage: Eukaryota; Metazoa; Chordata; Mammalia; Rodentia; Sciuridae. The record is from RNAcentral.